CCUACGGGGUGCAGCAGUGAGGAAUAUUGGUCAAUGGGCGCGAGCCUGAACCAGCCAAGUCGCGUGAGGGAGGACGGCCCUACGGGUUGUAAACCUCUUUUGCCGGGGAGCAACGUGCGCCACGUGUGGCGUCACUGAGAGUACCCGGAGAAAAAGCAUCGGCUAACUCCGUGCCAGCAGCAGCGGUAAUACGGAGGAUGCGAGCGGUAUCCGGAUUUAUUGGGUUUAAAGGGUGCGUAGGCGGAUCGUUAAGUCCGUGGUCAAAUUUGGGGGCUCAACCCCUUCCCGCCAUUGAAACUGGCGUUCUUGAGUGGAAGAGAAGUAUGCGGAAUGCGUGGUGUAGCGGUGAAAUGCAUAGAUAUCACGCAGAACCCCGAUUGCGAAGGCAGCAUGCCGGCUUCCGACUGACGCUGAAGCACGAAAGCGCGGGGAUCGAACAGGAUUAGAUACCCGAGUAGUC
This 460-nucleotide ribosomal RNA is filed under the name uncultured bacterium. RNAcentral describes it as "partial 16S ribosomal RNA". It matches the Rfam family "Bacterial small subunit ribosomal RNA", at positions 338 to 795 of the family's 1533-position model. The record is from RNAcentral.